AACUGCAUGUUGUUAUGCUCCUGGCCCGCAAGAGUAUAAACUGUGUACGACCAAAAAAAAGUCCGCUAGGUUGAAAAUCUCAAAAGAAGCGGCCUAGGCAAAAGUUAGGACCGAAAAAAAGGAAAAAAAGAGUCCUCUAGGUUGAAAACAUCGAAAGAGGCUGCCUAGAAAAAAAUUAGGACAUAAAAAAAAUCACCCAGUCUGAACUACGGUAUGACUUGAUCCUCUUCACCAGGGUACGUAGACAGCUUAGAGUUUCAUUCUAAGAUCAGUCGCAUAAGUUCAAAAGAUACAUAUUGCCCCAAUUGUUGUUCAAAUGAAGUAUGAAGGAACGCAAGAUCAAGCUGAAAUGCCAUCCCCUUGUGGAACUUUGAUCUCAUUUAAAUGAACCGAGGGAGAGUCGAGGCAUGAAAAAACUUAUCUAUGAUCUGCUUAUUUCUAAGUACGUAUCAUCCAUUGCCUUACCCACCGUCUCUGCGGCCGCCAAAGGGGAAACCCUCCAUGGUAAAUUGAUAUCUUCAAGUCCGUCGGUACUCAAGUUGAAGUCCCCAAGUUGAAAUCUUUAACUCCGUCGGUCUCCAAGUUUCAGUCUUCAAAUUCGUCGAUCUUAAAG
Molecule: long non-coding RNA, 613 nt
Filed under: Nicotiana benthamiana
Lineage: Eukaryota; Viridiplantae; Streptophyta; Magnoliopsida; Solanales; Solanaceae
Description: long non-coding RNA (NBEN_LNC023945)
Source: RNAcentral